GGCGCGGUGGCUGAGUGGUAAAGCCCUUGACUUCCGAACCAAGGGUCCUGGGUUCGAAUCCUGGUGAAGCCU
Molecule: transfer RNA, 72 nt
Filed under: Biomphalaria glabrata
Lineage: Eukaryota; Metazoa; Mollusca; Gastropoda; Planorbidae
Rfam family: tRNA
About the family: Transfer RNA (tRNA) molecules are approximately 80 nucleotides in length. Their secondary structure includes four short double-helical elements and three loops (D, anti-codon, and T loops). Further hydrogen bonds mediate the characteristic L-shaped molecular structure. tRNAs have two regions of fundamental functional importance: the anti-codon, which is responsible for specific mRNA codon recognition, and the 3' end, to which the tRNAs corresponding amino acid is attached (by aminoacyl-tRNA synthetases). tRNAs cope with the degeneracy of the genetic code in two manners: having more than one tRNA (with a specific anti-codon) for a particular amino acid; and 'wobble' base-pairing, i.e. permitting non-standard base-pairing at the 3rd anti-codon position.
Source: Rfam by way of RNAcentral